RNAcentral lists this unclassified non-coding RNA (204 nucleotides) under rhizosphere metagenome. RNAcentral describes it as "partial ribosomal RNA internal transcribed spacer region". The record is from RNAcentral.
GUAGGUGAACCUGCGGAAGGAUCAUUCAUAAUAAGUGUUUUAUGGCACUUUUUAAAUCCAUAUCCACCUUGUGUGCAAUGUCGGUCGAUCUUCUUCAUGGAGAUCGACCAAACAUCAACCUUUAUCUUUUAACUCUUUGUCUGAAAAACUAUUAUGAAUACUUAAUUCAAAAUACAACUUUCAACAACGGAUCUCUUGGUUCUG